Cavia porcellus (domestic guinea pig) is the source of this 1950-nucleotide long non-coding RNA. RefSeq lists it as uncharacterized. NCBI's taxonomy places the organism in Eukaryota, Metazoa, Chordata, Mammalia, Rodentia, Caviidae. The transcript is spliced from 2 exons. The record is from RefSeq and is a predicted model, not a curated record.
AUUUUUGAGACCAGUUCUUACUAAAUCACUAAAUUGCCCAGGCUGGGCUUGAAUUUUCAAUCCUCCUGCCUCAGCCUCCCAGCAUGCUAGGUUCACAGGCCUUCACCAUGUCCUGCCUUUUCUUUUCUAACCUGAAGUUCUUGGGAAAGAUCGGAUCUCUGCUUAGCAUGGCACCUCUCAGAGGCCCAGGGAAGCCAUGGUGAAUCCACUCUGUCACAGGGUGUUUCUGGGUUUUGCACUGUGCCACCCUCUUCAACAGGGCGUCCCCGAGGAUGGGGCUAUCUCCCCUUCAGAGUCCCUGAAGGCAAUGGCUUCUGGCCUUAAACAAGACUUACUGCCCCCCUCCCCUGACUGGCUCCCCUGGCAUCUGGGCAUUCCAUGCAGGACACCGUCUGUCACCCUCUGAUGAAUGAGCCUGCUAAGAAUAACUUAGCUCUCAUGGUCUCUGAAGGACACAGGGAGGAAGGCGAGGGCUGGGCCAGCGAGUACAGGCUCAACCUGUUCAUUCAGCAGCACUUCCGGGGUGCCCUCUAGGCAUUGGAGGAGAUGUGGGGAGCCUCUCAGCGCACCCUGCUUUGGAGUGUCCCUGAGGCUCUUAGGACAGAAGUGUCAGCCCCUCCAUUCCUUCAGAAGCUCCUCCCCCUCUGGAGCAGAGACUUGGAAAUGAGGUGCUUGGGUGUAGGGCUACUUCUGUAGGUCCCAGCAGUUAACCUGUGGCACACAUGUAUACACACGUAUGCACAUGGUUUCAUUCUAGGGUCUCAGACCCCUGAUUCCUCUCCUGAUCACACAAUCUGAUGCCCCAAGGGCCAGUAGCCCAGAACCUGGGUGCUGACUGCUCAAGGCCAGGCAGGGACUACAGGCUGCUAAAGCCACGGUAGGGGAGCAAAAGCUGAAACUGAGGCCCUUAAACCUCAGUGCAAGCAAGGUGUAGUGGCACAUGCCUGUAAACCCAGCAAUUGGAAGACGAGGCAGGAGGACCACUAAGAGUUGAAGGCCAGCCUGGCCGGGCUGCAUAGCCAGACCCUGCCUCAAACAAAUCAAAACAAAACAAAACUUGGACAAAAGACGCAGUUCACCCCUUCCCUGAUGGAAGCCAGGGGGCUCAUGGAGGGCAGCAGGCUGGGGAUCUCUGGGGGCCUUCCCUGAGUCCCUUCCCAUGCCCAAGACAAGGGCAGAGGGGAGGUGAACACCAGGACAGUACUCCCGAGGAGACCCAGGGACCCUCGCAGCCAUCUGCCUACCUGAAGAGGGCUGGGUAUAUAGUUCAGUGCAAAAACCCUGAGUUCAAUCCCCAGUGCUGAAAACAAACAAAAAAUAGUAAAACAUGGUCAGAAUGUGGCCCAGGCAGCCUCUGAGGCUGAGUGUCUAGUUUAAGCAGGUCCAAGAGGAGCCAGACUUGGAAGUGCUGAUGCUGGAAAUGAAUGAAUGAGGCUGGAUGGAGUGAGGGUGGGUGAAUGCACACGUGGAACAUGGCCCAUGAGCACAACAGCGGAUGUCACAUGCUACACAGACCUUGGACCUUGUCUCGGAACUGACUGUGACCAUGGCACCACACCAGAAGUCCUACAGACCACGAACCCGGGCCUGUCCCCAGGGCAGCACACGCCUGUGCAGGAAAGCACCUUUGAAUCACGCCGUCAGCUGACAGCAGGGACCAGACACCUCCCCAGACUUCUGGAAAGCAGUGUGACCGCCUUGUGGUAACCACCACCUGAGGCCCAUAGAGGGCAGAGAGGCAGUGAGGAGCUUUGCAGAUGGGAGGAGCUCGGAGAAUACCCUCCCACUCAAGAACUGCACCUCUGUUUGCUCUGCUUCAAAGGAAGGGUCUCAGCCUCCAGCUCACCAGGUGGCACUAGCUGGCAUCUCUCUCCAGCCCCGUCCGUCCUCUGCUAGGAACCAGCCCUCUCGGGCACAGCAGCACCCAGGUGGAUAAAACUUGAUGAUCCC